UAUAGUCUUAUUUUGUUGUAAGUCAAAAAAAAAAUAAAAAUAAUAUACACUCCUCGGCUUCUCGAGCAACAAUUAUAUAUGAUCUGAGACAUUCUUUACUUCAUUGCCCUAACCAAAUCAUAAAUCGGAGGAUUUUUAAAUAUUUAUAACGCAGUAAACGAAAAAUUUAAAUAAAUAAAAUUGUCUUGUUGCAUAUAUUCGUUUAAAAUGAAAAUUCUGGAUUUUUUCAUCGUCUUAACUUUUUUGGUCUCUGUAGCUGUCGCUUAUCAAGGGUGCUUAAUGAUAACUUCUAAGUGUAGUCAAGAAAAAGGAGCAGUAAAAUGUUGCCCUGGUAGUACGUGUACUAAGCGGAAUUGGAUCUAUGCAGAGUGUUUUUCAACUAAAAAAUUAGAGGAAGAAAAAAAUAAAAAAUCUUCUAGUUUUUGGGGCUAACCAUCAACAAUCUUUUAUUUUUCUCUCUUUCGGUUGAUAUAAAUUAUUGUUCCAUUGAAACUAAAUUUUUAUAUAUUUUCAUUAUUAUAAUUCAGGCGACCGGCUUUCCGAAUCAAGACAAUCAUUGAAAUUGAUAGUGAA
Microplitis demolitor is the source of this 573-nucleotide long non-coding RNA. RefSeq lists it as uncharacterized. The record is from RefSeq and is a predicted model, not a curated record. Lineage: Eukaryota; Metazoa; Arthropoda; Insecta; Hymenoptera; Braconidae. The transcript has 3 exons.